This 455-nucleotide ribosomal RNA is filed under the name unidentified archaeon. RNAcentral describes it as "bacterial SSU rRNA". It matches the Rfam family "Archaeal small subunit ribosomal RNA", at positions 599 to 1053 of the family's 1478-position model. The record is from RNAcentral.
CCGGGAGAGGUGAGAGGUACUUCAGGGGUAGGGGUGAAAUCUUGUGAUCCUCGAGGGACCACCAGUGGUGAAGGCGUCUCGCCAGAACGGGUCCGACGGUAAGGGACGAAAGCUAGGGGCACGAACCGGAUUAGAUACCCGGGUAGUCCUAGCCGUAAACGAUGCUCGCUAGGUGUCAGUCACGGUGCGACCGUGAUUGGUGCCGUAGGGAAGCCGUGAAGCGAGCCACCUGGGAAGUAUGGCCGCAAGGCUGAAACUUAAAGGAAUUGGCGGGGGAGCACUACAACGGGUGGAGCCUGCGGUUUAAUUGGAUUCAACGCCGGAAAUCUCACCGGGGGCGACAGCGAUAUGAAGGUCAGGCUGAAGACUUUACCGGAUUAGCUGAGAGGUGGUGCAUGGCCGUCGUCAGUUCGUACUGUGAAGCAUCCUGUUAAGUCAGGUAACGAGCGAGACCC